This 496-nucleotide ribosomal RNA is filed under the name uncultured bacterium. RNAcentral's name for it is "partial 16S ribosomal RNA". It matches the Rfam family "Bacterial small subunit ribosomal RNA", at positions 28 to 506 of the family's 1533-position model. The record is from RNAcentral.
GAUGAACGCUGGCGGCGUGCCUAAUACAUGCAAGUCGAGCGAACAGACGAGGAGCUUGCUCCUCUGACGUUAGCGGCGGACGGGCGAGUAACACGUGGAUAACCUACCUAUAAGACUGGGAUAACUUCGGGAAACCGGAGCUAAUACCGGAUAAUAUAUUGAACCACAUGGUUCAAUAGUGAAAGACGGUUUUGCUGUCACUUAUAGAUGGAUCCGCGCCGCAUUAGCUAGUUGGUAAGGUAACGGCUUACCAAGGCGACGAUGCGUAGCCGACCUGAGAGGGUGAUCGGCCACACUGGAACUGAGACACGGUCCAGACUCCUACGGGAGGCAGCAGUAGGGAAUCUUCCGCAAUGGGCGAAAGCCUGACGGAGCAACGCCGCGUGAGUGAUGAAGGUCUUCGGAUCGUAAAACUCUGUUAUUAGGGAAGAACAAAUGUGUAAGUAACUAUGCACGUCUUGACGGUACCUAAUCAGAAAGCCACGGCUAACUACGU